RNAcentral lists this small RNA (692 nucleotides) under Pan troglodytes (chimpanzee). RNAcentral describes it as "retained intron". Lineage: Eukaryota; Metazoa; Chordata; Mammalia; Primates; Hominidae. The record is from RNAcentral.
ACCUCUGCCGCAGCCCGUGCCGCCGCCGCCGCCUCCCGGGAAGAGAGGAAGCGGGAGAGGAGCCCACGUCGCCUGUCACCCAAUAUCUCCAGCCGCGCAGUCCCGAAGAGUGUAAGAUGUUCGCCUGCGCCAAGCUCGCCUGCACCCCCUCUCUGAUCCGAGCUGGAUCCAGAGUUGCAUACAGACCAAUUUCUGCAUCAGUGUUAUCUCGACCAGAGGCUAGUAGGACUGGAGAGGUAAUAGUAGCAAUAAUUGAAAUUAGGUAACACUACCAAAUAAGGGUAGGGUUUUGAUUAGAGUGAAGGAAAAAAACUUUAUUAAUAAGAGUUUGAGGGCAAGUCUUUCCCACCCUUUUAUCCAAAAAACUAGAUGAGCCAAAUAGCCAAAAAUAGAGAGCCAAAAAACUAGAUGAGCCAAAUAGAGAAAUUUCUCUAUCCAAAACUUGGCCAAGUAUUUAUAUUCAAGUCUAUUGAUUUAAGUUGCCUAUAUUUAAAAUUAUAAUAGCUACAGUUAUUGAAAAAUGUACUCAUUGGGCUGGAUGCGGUGGCUCACACCUGUGUUCCUAGCACUGUGGGAGGCCAAGGAGGGAGGAUUGCUUGACCCCAGGAGUUCAAGAUCAGCCUGGGCCACAUAGUAAGAUCCUGUUUCUACAAAACAUUUAAAAAUUAACCCAGCCUGGUGGUCACCUGUAG